Melitaea cinxia (Glanville fritillary) is the source of this 841-nucleotide long non-coding RNA. RefSeq lists it as uncharacterized. Lineage: Eukaryota; Metazoa; Arthropoda; Insecta; Lepidoptera; Nymphalidae. The record is from RefSeq and is a predicted model, not a curated record. The transcript has 3 exons.
GAAGUCGGUUAAAAAAGAACGUAUUAUUAUAGUCUACAAUCUGAAAUUUUAGUAUCACCAUGGUUUUAUAAUAUGGAUUUCAAUACAAAAGGCUGUAGCAUAAUAUCGAGACUAAGGCUUGGUCACACUCGUUCUCCACACCAUCUGGCUAGAUUUAAAAUUACUUCCAGUCCGUCCUGUUUUUGUGGUUAUGUAAUGGGGGAUAUUAAUCAUCUUUUAUUCUCCUGUUCACUUUUCAACCACUCCCGCUUCCUGGCGUCACUGAUUACGUAUCUUUUUUAUCUUCCUUUUUAUCAUAAAAUAUAUUAUUUUGUUUCUUCCUAUCCUGUUCUGAAUCCUGUCAUAAAUUCCUCUUGUCCCUUAUCCACAAUUUUUGAAGAUUUUUCUUAAUUCCUGCUCGUCAUUGGCAAUGUGCAGUCCUUAAAAAAAACGUCAAAAUCACGUCAAAAUUGACAGCUGACUUCUGCCAAAAAAUUGUUCACUUCGAUUCAGCACAAAUCCUCCACUCUGUUGACGACAGUUUAAUAUCCGUGCUGAUACCAAUAUACAACUUAAAACAGAAAUUUCAAUUGUAAUAGACUCCAUGGUGUGGAGUGGAUACGCGGUGCCAGGGCCGCGGUACGCUUUCAAGUGGAUGUGUCCAGUGGGUAGUCUGCGUGUUAUGGUCCAUGUAGUAGCGCCGUCCUCGCAGUGUACGGUCAGCUGACCAGCCGGGAGGCAGUGGCAACUCACACUCAUCGGAACCUGCCAGUUUUAUUUUUGAAGAUAUUUUUUUACUACUCUUAGAGGUAAAGUUUGUAAGCUUAUAGAUUUUAAAUAAUACAUAUUUUUUAAAGUUAAA